GACGAACGCUGGCGGCGUGCUUAACACAUGCAAGUCGAACGGAAAGGCCCUGCUUUUGUGGGGUGCUCGAGUGGCGAACGGGUGAGUAACACGUGAGUAACCUGCCCUUGACUUUGGGAUAACUUCAGUAAACUGGGGCUACUACCGGAUAGGACCUCCUGCUGCAUGGUGGGGGUUGGAAAGUUUCGGCGGUUGGGGAUGGACUCGCGGCUUAUCAGCUUGGUGGUGGGGUAGUGGCUUACCAAGGCUUUGACGGGUAGCCGGCCUGAGAGGGUGACCGGACACAUUGGGACUGAGAUACGGCCCAGACUGCUACGGGAGGCAGCAGUGGGGAAUAUUGCACAAUGGGCGGAAGGCUGAUGCAGCAAAGCCGCGUGCGGGAUGAGGGCCUGCGGGUUGUAAACCGCUUUCGCCUGUGACGAAGCGUGAGUGACGGUAAUGGGUAAAGAAGCACCGGCUAACUACGUG
RNAcentral lists this ribosomal RNA (468 nucleotides) under uncultured bacterium. Its description in RNAcentral is "partial 16S ribosomal RNA". It matches the Rfam family "Bacterial small subunit ribosomal RNA", at positions 28 to 507 of the family's 1533-position model. The record is from RNAcentral.